RNAcentral lists this ribosomal RNA (484 nucleotides) under uncultured bacterium. Its description in RNAcentral is "partial 16S ribosomal RNA". It matches the Rfam family "Bacterial small subunit ribosomal RNA", at positions 30 to 507 of the family's 1533-position model. The record is from RNAcentral.
AUUGAACGCUGGCGGCAGGCCUAACACAUGCAAGUCGAGCGGAUGAAGGGAGCUUGCUCCUGGAUUCAGCGGCGGACGGGUGAGUAAUGCCUAGGAAUCUGCCUGGUAGUGGGGGAUAACGUCCGGAAACGGGCGCUAAUACCGCAUACGUCCUGAGGGAGAAAGUGGGGGAUCUUCGGACCUCACGCUAUCAGUUGAGCCUAGGUCGGAUUAGCUAGUUGGUGGGGUAAAGGCCUACCAAGGCGACGAUCCGUAACUGGUCUGAGAGGAUGAUCAGUCACAUUGGAACUGAGACAAGGUCCAGACUCCUAAGGGAGGCAGCAGGGGGGAAUAUUAGACAAUGGGCGAAAGCCUGAUCCAGCCAUGCCGCGUGUGUGAAGAAGGUCUUCGGAUUGUAAAGCACUUUAAGUAGGGAGGAAGGGCAGUAAGUUAAUACCUGGCUGUUUUGACGUUACCAACAGAAUAAGCACCGGCUAACUUCGUG